This 432-nucleotide ribosomal RNA is filed under the name uncultured bacterium. RNAcentral describes it as "bacterial SSU rRNA". It matches the Rfam family "Bacterial small subunit ribosomal RNA", at positions 355 to 796 of the family's 1533-position model. The record is from RNAcentral.
UGGGGAAUAUUGCACAAUGGGCGCAAGCCUGAUGCAGCAACGCCGCGUGUGGGAUGACGGCCUUCGGGUUGUAAACCGCUUUUAGUGAGGAAGAAGCCUUUUUGGUGACGGUACUUGCAGAAAAAGGACCGGCUAACUACGUGCCAGCAGCCGCGGUAAUACGUAGGGUCCGAGCGUUGUCCGGAAUUAUUGGGCGUAAAGAGCUCGUAGGCGGUUUGUUGCGUCUGCUGUGAAAUCUUCAGGCUUAACUUGGAGUGUGCAGUGGGUACGGGCAGGCUUGAGUGAUGUAGGGGAGACUGGAAUUCCUGGUGUAGCGGUGGAAUGCGCAGAUAUCAGGAGGAACACCGAUGGCGAAGGCAGGUCUCUGGGCAUUUACUGACGCUGAGGAGCGAAAGCGUGGGGAGCGAACAGGAUUAGAUACCCCCGUAGUCC